CUGAUUUAAUCAAGUCAAUCAGCACCUAAUCACAACAAAAAUCUUACUUAGUUCAAAUGUAACUAAGUAACAAAAAAAUAACCAAAGUCAGCAUGCUGUCGUGCUGCAACAAGCAUGCACCAAAAAACAGACUUAGCUGCAUGUAAGCCAUUUCUUAACAAGGUUUAAGUGUUGAUACUGAGGGUGUAGAUACCGUUGGUGAAGGUGUAAGUGUUACUACUGAUGGUGUAGAUGAUGCUGGUAUUGGAUUAGAUGCUGUUGGUGAGGGUGCAAGUGUAGAGAUUUGUGGUUCUAGUAGUGAAGCUGGUUCAAAAGAAGAGGCAUUCUUAGUUGAUGUACACGUAGGCAGUGAUAUGGAUGAGAAAGUAGAAGCCAUUAGGAAGAAAGUUGUUAGACAAGAAAAGCAAAUUUUUGAGGAUAAUACUGAAGGUGAUAGUGGAGAUAGUAAUGAGGAUGAUGCUAAUGAAGGUGUUCACGGAGAGAGAAAAGUGGGAGUGGACAUGGUUGAUGAUGAUAUGAUCAAGGAAAAUGAGGGCAAGCUAGAGGGGCAUGAAAGUGACUAUAUAGACAGUGAAGAUCCGGG
Molecule: long non-coding RNA, 583 nt
Filed under: Gossypium barbadense (sea-island cotton)
Lineage: Eukaryota; Viridiplantae; Streptophyta; Magnoliopsida; Malvales; Malvaceae
Description: long non-coding RNA (GBAR_LNC002895)
Source: RNAcentral